GAACGAAGGAAAGAAAGAGAAGAAAAUCGAGAGAGAGAGAGAGAGAGAGAGAGAGAGAGAGAGAGAGAUCAACUCUAUGUGCUGAAAAUGGUGAAGGAAAGCGAUGGAAAAGCUUGGAAAAGGUGAAGAAUUGAAGAGAGACUCAAGAAAUUGAGAAGAAAUUCAUCAAAUUGAAGGUUUUAGGUGAUCAAGUGCGUGACCAGGUUUAAAAGUGUCUGCCUGGAAUAUGUUUUUGUCAGCCAACCUAUGUGCCUCCCGUGGAGGUUCUGCAUAUGUCAAGUGGUCAAGGCUAUGUGAUUAAAGUUUAAGUUUUUGUUUAUUCUAUAAUUAGGACUAAGUCCCUUUUUGUCUAGUCUGUACAUAUGUGAUGAAGUAAGGGUGAUGUAUGAUAUAUGUAUAUAAAAAGUUUAAAUUUUUUUUUUGUCUCA
Molecule: non-coding RNA, 428 nt
Organism: Camellia sinensis
Lineage: Eukaryota; Viridiplantae; Streptophyta; Magnoliopsida; Ericales; Theaceae
Source: RefSeq, a predicted model, not a curated record